Molecule: long non-coding RNA, 1895 nt
Organism: Choloepus didactylus (southern two-toed sloth)
Lineage: Eukaryota; Metazoa; Chordata; Mammalia; Pilosa; Megalonychidae
Exons: 3
Source: RefSeq, a predicted model, not a curated record
AAACAAUGGAAUUUAGAAAGAAUCUAUGGAGGUCUCGAAAGAUUUGUAUUUUCAUCUUUCUUCCUUCUAUCUUUAAUCUACCUGGAAUCCAAUUAUGUAUACAACAAUUGAAUUAAUAAGCGAGCUGGGAGGAAGGAAGAAAUAUUCCUUAAAGGAGAAUUGCAGUUAAUAAAUGAAGAAGGAAUGAGCAAAAUAGAAAAUCACCAUUAGAACACCAUGGUGAUUUUGCUGCAGUCCCAAGGAGAGGUUCAAAGGAUUCUCCAAGGGAUCCUGACCCAGAGGAGUUUAAGACUCACUUGUCUGAGUUCAUACAUGGCUCCCAUUAAGCUUGUCUGUUAGAAAUUGCUUCAAACCAUUAAAAGGGUCAGUGCAUGAAGACCAAGUCCAGCAGAAACCAACACACUGAAGCCUGAAUAUGCUUGGUGGAUAUGCAAACUCUAAGAAGAUGGGAGGCAUUUCAUCUUGGGAACAGGGUUGAAGAGGUUGGACUAAGGCAGAAUGAUUAGAGAAAUACCGGAACACCAAGGACCUCUUAUUCCAAUGCUGUCAUGGGCUCCCUUUACUUGGGUUGGGAGCACCAAGUAAGGAGAGUCCUAUAAGAGAGCUACCAAAAUAGAGGCAGAACCAAAAGAUGGUGACACUCAAGGAAGCCUGUGAAUGGGUUUAAGAAGGAGAGUGACACAAUCAAUGUAUGUGUGUAAAAGAUCACUUUGGUUACUGUGUGGAGAAUGGGUUCUUCCUCCUUCCCAGGACCAAGCUACUGAUUUUCAUGGUUUGGACAGUUUCUCAGUUUAAGCAUUAAUAAGUCUCUACAGAGCAUAAGGAAAUGCCCCAUUUGGUGUAACUUUGCUCCUUCCCAUUGGUUAUGUCAGAACAGAGCUGACUUCUGCAGGACUCUGGACUCCAGGUUUUUACUCAGACCUUGGGAACAAAGAAUAAGCCCUGCCUCAUAGCUCUAUAUGAAUUGGAAUAAAACAAAGCCUCAAUUUUCUUAUUUUCCUAUAGGAAAUGUUAAAUAUUUGAUAACUACUAAAAACAUCUAGGCAGCAAUGGUUUUCUAGUUUUUUUUUUUUUAAUUUUUUUAAAUUUAUUAUGGUCCACAAAUUCAAUUAACAGUUUGGAUUAUUUUUUAAUUCAGGAAAAUGAGCGUUUGAGAGUUUUCAUUUCUAAUAUGUUGUAGCUACUAAAGGAAAUAUAGACUCUUACUAAACAGUUUUGCUUCCAGUAAGUACAGACUCUAAAGGGGACUUCUAGCUGAACAAACGCAAGUAGGCAAAAACCUAUCUCCAUUGUGGGUCCCAAAGACAAAGAGGGAGGUGAGCCCUGAAUUCACUGCUGUUUCCUGUGGUCACAGCAAGUGAAUAAGCAAUAGCCGCUUUGCCUUAAGAUGUGCCCAACCCAUAUUUGAAGUGUAAUAAUGAAGGUUUAAAACCAUCUUUAAACAAAAAUAAUAAAUUGCCAUAACUAUCAAAACAAUAUUUUAACAUAUUUCAAGUCUCCUUAUAAAUUAAGAGUUGGCUAUGUCAAAAAUCUAUCAACAUCUAUCAACAUCCCAGUCUUCCUGAAGUACUUCUUGAAGCCUGUGGCUGGCAGGAAGCAGUGCUGACCCCAUUCUCUCUCCCAGGCAUCACCCUCGUCCACCCUUCAAAGUCCAUCCUGGAGGCUGCCUGAAUUUCUAGGAAACCCAUUAAUCCAUUUGGUUGUCUCUUUUUCAGCCACUACUGUCAAAUCCUUUUACCUUUUAAAUGGGUGUGGAUGUCCCUAGGUGGGCAAGGUCUGGAAGGCAGGAUGGGGUCCCUUGGCUCAAGAGGGUGCUGGCCUCAGAUGAGGUGGUGGUGGGUGGGCAGGUGUGAGGAUAUCUACCAAAAUAUACAUAUUAUCACAGAAGUGUUGUG